Molecule: ribosomal RNA, 253 nt
Filed under: uncultured bacterium
Lineage: Bacteria
Description: partial 16S ribosomal RNA
Rfam family: Bacterial small subunit ribosomal RNA
Source: RNAcentral
UACGUAGGGUGCAAGCGUUGUCCGGAAUUAUUGGGCGUAAAGAGCGUGUAGGCGGCCCGAUUAGUCCGCUGUGAAAGUCCAGGGCUCAACCCUGGAAUGCCGGUGGAUACUGUCGGGCUAGAGUCCGGAAGGGGCGAGUGGAAUUCCGGGUGUAGUGGUGAAAUGCGUAGAGAUCCGGAGGAACACCAGUGGCGAAGGCGACACGCUGGGCCGUACCUGACACUGAUGCGCGACAGCAUGGGGAGCAAACAGG